CGAGCGCGCUACCGCUUGAGCCACAUCCCCAGCCCGGUACAAGUGAUUUAAACAGAAAAUGAAACACCAACAAAUCAAGGAAGAAGUAACAGAACAGACAAAAACUUGCAAAAUAAGUAUAAAUAACAUAAUCAUGAAGGCUGAAUUCCCUAAUGCUCAAGUAAACAUAAAAUUAGAAUUUUUUUUAAAGAACAAAAUUGGAGGACUUACAUUUCCUAAUUUCAAAACCUAGUACAGAGCUAUCAUAAUCAAUAAAAUGUAGCUCUGGCAUAAGGAGAGACACAUAUAUCAAUGGAAAUAAACCCAUGAUUUGGUGAACUGAUUUUUGACAAUGGUGCCAAACCAUCUAAGACUACUUUUUGCAAUACUCUUUUUAAUAAAUGGUGCUGGUAGUCUGGAAAUCCAUAUGAAAAAAAGAAAAAGGAGGAGGAGGAGGAGGAGAAGUUGGAUCCUUAUUUUAUGCCAGAUGAAAAAAAUUUAAGAGGAUAUUAAUUUAAGAGGAUAUUCAUAAUGGCAGAUUAGAGGAAGCCUGUAUUUCCAAUUGCUUAGUGUAUCAGGAUUCAAGCAGAGAGAAUAUUGCUUCCCAUUGAGGCAGGUUAAAGAGCAAAUUCACUGAAAUUCUGUGACAGUAAGAGCAAAUGUGACUCCAUUUUGUUUUGUGACUUCAUCCUGUAAAACCACCAUGCCAAGUAGAGGAGUCAUGACUGGGGCAAAAUGUCCUUUUCCUUUUGCUAUAGAAACCUUUAAGAACCCGGAACUACCUAAUGGGGCAUUGUUUCUGUAACUAGGGUAACGGGGCUCUGUUUCUGUAACUGGAGUGACUGGACUAACUGUGAUUGGUUAGGCUUCCCUAUGUUGACUGCACUGUCCUGCUUCUGUAACCUGGCUUGCUUGCAUUGGCUAGACCCCUGAACAUCCCUUUUGCAGUUUUCAGGCUUAGAAGGCGUGCCCUUGCAAUUGUUCGGGGCUGAUCAGGGGAACAGCUUUAUGUUCUGAUCAGCCGCCACCGGUGUGCUUCAAUAAAGGCUUGAUUCCAC
Molecule: long non-coding RNA, 1037 nt
Filed under: Marmota monax (woodchuck)
Lineage: Eukaryota; Metazoa; Chordata; Mammalia; Rodentia; Sciuridae
Source: RNAcentral